GCCGCGGUAAAACCAGCACCUCAAGUGGUCAGGAUGAUUAUUGGGCCUAAAGCAUCCGUAGCCGGCUUUGUAAGUUUUCGGUUAAAUCCAUGUGCUCAACGCAUGGGCUGCCGAAAAUACUGCAUAGCUAGGGAGUGGAAGAGGUAGACGGUACUCAGUAGGUAGGGGUAAAAUCCUUUGAUCUAUUGAUGACCACCUGUGGCGAAGGCGGUCUACCAGAACACGUUCGACGGUGAGGGAUGAAAGCUGGGGGAGCAAACCGGAUUAGAUACCCGGGUAGUCCCAGCUGUAAACGAUGCAGACUCGAUGAUGCAUUGGCAUAAUAGCCAUUGCAGUGUCGCAGGGAAGCCGUUAAGUCUGCCGCCUGGGAAGUACGUACGCAAGUAUGAAACUAAAGGAAUUGGCGGGGGAGCACGGUCAA
This 421-nucleotide ribosomal RNA is filed under the name crenarchaeote SCGC AAA288-C14. RNAcentral describes it as "SSU rRNA". It matches the Rfam family "Archaeal small subunit ribosomal RNA", at positions 464 to 885 of the family's 1478-position model. The record is from RNAcentral. Lineage: Archaea; Thermoproteati; Thermoproteota.